This 301-nucleotide ribosomal RNA is filed under the name uncultured bacterium. RNAcentral's name for it is "partial 16S ribosomal RNA". It matches the Rfam family "Bacterial small subunit ribosomal RNA", at positions 509 to 807 of the family's 1533-position model. The record is from RNAcentral.
CAGUAGCCGCGGGAAUACAGAGGGUGCGAGCGUUAAUCGGAUUUACUUGGCGUAAAGCGUGCGUAGGCGGCUUCUUAAGUCGGAUGUGAAAUCCCUGAGCUUAACUUAGGAAUUGCAUUCGAUACUGGGAAGCUAGAGUAUGGGAGAGGAUGGUAGAAUUCCAGGUGUAGCGGUGAAAUGCGUAGAGAUCUGGAGGAAUACCGAUGGCGAAGGCAGCCAUCUGGCCUAAUACUGACGCUGAGGUACGAAAGCAUGGGGAGCAAACAGGAUUAGAUACCCCAGUAGUCCCUGUCUCUUAUAC